UUGGCAUGACCGACUGGGGUUAUAGGACAGCAACACUGUACAACAGAGACUAGAUGAAGUGUUUGGAAUGACACGCCAAAGAGAGUGAAAGCCUCGUAAUUAAAAAUCAAAGUUGGCAAGCUGAAUCCUGAGUAGCACGGUACACGAGAAAUUCCGUGUGAAUUCGCGAGGACCACCUCGUAAGGCUAAAUACUCACUUGUGACCGAUAGUGAACCAGUACCGCGAGGGAAAGGUGAAAAGAACCCCGGAAGGGGAGUGAAAUAGAACAUGAAACCGUGAGCUUACAAGCAAUGGGAGGACGAUUUAACGUCUGACCGUGUGCCUGUUGAAGAAUGAGCCGGCGACUUAUAGGCAGUGGCAGGUUAAGGGGAAAAUCCCGAAGCCAAAGCGAAAGCGAGUUUGAUAAGAGCGAUAGUCACUGUUUAUAGACCCGAACCCGGGUGAUCUAACCAUGGGCAGGAUGAAGCU
RNAcentral lists this ribosomal RNA (469 nucleotides) under Pseudanabaena sp. CCY9701. RNAcentral's name for it is "bacterial LSU rRNA". It matches the Rfam family "Bacterial large subunit ribosomal RNA", at positions 278 to 752 of the family's 2925-position model. Lineage: Bacteria; Bacillati; Cyanobacteriota; Cyanophyceae; Pseudanabaenales; Pseudanabaenaceae. The record is from RNAcentral.